This 84-nucleotide transfer RNA is filed under the name Gemmatimonadota bacterium. RNAcentral describes it as "Gemmatimonadetes bacterium tRNA-Glu". It matches the Rfam family "tRNA". From Rfam's summary of the family: Transfer RNA (tRNA) molecules are approximately 80 nucleotides in length. RNAcentral also lists the same sequence under 1 other name. The record is from RNAcentral. Lineage: Bacteria; Pseudomonadati; Gemmatimonadota.
GCUGGUGUGGCGAAAAUGGUAAACGCAGAGAUCCCUCAAAUCUCCGGGCGAAGGCCCUUGUGGGUUCGAAUCCCACCACCAGCA